Non-coding RNA from Pteronotus mesoamericanus, 431 nucleotides. The record is from the annotation of a RefSeq genome assembly. NCBI's taxonomy places the organism in Eukaryota, Metazoa, Chordata, Mammalia, Chiroptera, Mormoopidae.
UCCCAGGAGAAAUGGGCAGGCUCCUGGGGGCUUUGUUGUUGAUUUUGUGUCUUCAGCUACAGCGGGUGAAUAGUCAACAGAAGGAUGGUGAGCAGCAACAGGUGAAGCAGAAUUCUCCAUCCCUGAGUGUGCAAGAAGGAGGAAUUUCUAUUCUGAACUGUGACUACAAUAAUAAUUUGUUUGAUUACUUCGCAUGGUACAAAAAAUACCCUGCUAAAGGUCCUGUGUUUCUGAUAGCAACACGUUCAGUUGCGGGCAAAAAGGAAGAUGGAAGAUUCACAGCCCUCCACAAUGUAAGUGCCAAACAUCUCUCUCUGCACAUUGAGCGCUCACAGAUUGGAGACUCCGCCUUGUACCUCUGCGGAGCAAGUACACAGUGCUCUCCAGGCACCUGCGGCCUGUACUCAAACCUGCAGCUGGGGCCAAGCUAA